AAGACCAAGGGUUCCUGUCCAACGUUAAUCGGGGCAGGGUGAGUCGACCCCUAAGGCGAGGCCGAAAGGCGUAGUCGAUGGGAAACAGGUUAAUAUUCCUGUACUUGGUGUUACUGCGAAGGGGGGACGGAGAAGGCUAUGUUGGCCGGGCGACGGUUGUCCCGGUUUAAGCGUGUAGGCUGGUUUUCCAGGCAAAUCCGGAAAAUCAAGGCUGAGGCGUGAUGACGAGGCACUACGGUGCUGAAGCAACAAAUGCCCUGCUUCCAGGAAAAGCCUCUAAGCAUCAGGUAACAUCAAAUCGUACCCCAAACCGACACAGGUGGUCAGGUAGAGAAUACCAAGGCGCUUGAGAGAACUCGGGUGAAGGAACUAGGCAAAAUGGUGCCGUAACUUCGGGAGAAGGCACGCUGAUAUGUAGGUGAAGUCCCUCGCGGAUGGAGCUGAAAUCAGUCGAAGAUACCAGCUGGCUGCAACUGUUUAUUAAAAACACAGCACUGUGCAAACACGAAAGUGGACGUAUACGGUGUGACGCCUGCCCGGUGC
RNAcentral lists this ribosomal RNA (543 nucleotides) under Escherichia coli. RNAcentral's name for it is "partial 23S ribosomal RNA". It matches the Rfam family "Bacterial large subunit ribosomal RNA", at positions 1341 to 1869 of the family's 2925-position model. Lineage: Bacteria; Pseudomonadati; Pseudomonadota; Gammaproteobacteria; Enterobacterales; Enterobacteriaceae. The record is from RNAcentral.